RNAcentral lists this ribosomal RNA (492 nucleotides) under uncultured bacterium. RNAcentral describes it as "partial 16S ribosomal RNA". It matches the Rfam family "Bacterial small subunit ribosomal RNA", at positions 29 to 507 of the family's 1533-position model. The record is from RNAcentral.
AGUGAACGCUGGCGGUAGGCCUAACACAUGCAAGUCGAACGGCAGCACAGUAAGAGCUUGCUCUUACGGGUGGCGAGUGGCGGACGGGUGAGGAAUACAUCGGAAUCUACUUUUUCGUGGGGGAUAACGUAGGGAAACUUACGCUAAUACCGCAUACGACCUACGGGUGAAAGCAGGGGAUCUUCGGACCUUGCUCGAUUGAAUGAGCCGAUGUCGGAUUAGCUAGUUGGCGGGGUAAAGGCCCACCAAGGCGACGAUCCGUAGCUGGUCUGAGAGGAUGAUCAGCCACACUGGAACUGAGACACGGUCCAGACUCCUACGGGAGGCAGCAGUGGGGAAUAUUGGACAAUGGGCGCAAGCCUGAUCCAGCCAUACCGCGUGGGUGAAGAAGGCCUUCGGGUUGUAAAACCCUUUUGUUGGGAAAGAAAAGCAGCAGGUUAAUACCCCGCUGUUCUGACGGUACCCAAAGAAUAAGCACCGGCUAACUUCGUG